GAAUUGCGAUAAGUAAUGUGAAUUGCAGAUUUCCAGUGAAUCAUCGAAUCUUUGAACGCAUCUUGCGCUCCUUGGUAUUCCGAGGAGCAUGCCUGUUUGAGUGUCAUUUGAUUAUCAACCUUCAUUCUUUAGGGAACGAAGGGUUGGAGGUGGGGGUUGCUGGCGGCUAGGGUCGUCAGCUCUCCUUAAAAGCAUUAGCGAUCGAGUUGGGCUAUCAAGUCUUUCGACAUGCACGGCCUUUGACGUGAUAAUGAUCGUCAUGGCUGGAGUGUCUUUCCUGGACUGUGCUACAUAGAUUGCUUCUAACAGACAGAGAUCUUUGAUCUUUCACUCAAGCUUAGCUACUAGGCAGUCUUUUUCUGUUGAAGAAGAGGCUGGCGAAAACAAGCAGAGAGGGAAAGGGAUGGGAUCGAUCCUUGAUCAGCUUAGUUACUAGGCAGUCUUGACUGGCGAACACAAGCGAGAGAGAGGAACGAUAAUAAUGACUUGACCUCAAAUCAGGUAGUACUA
RNAcentral lists this ribosomal RNA (510 nucleotides) under Phylloporus bellus. RNAcentral describes it as "eukaryotic LSU rRNA". The stretch from base 1 to 106 matches the Rfam family "5.8S ribosomal RNA", at positions 50 to 154 of the family's 154-position model. Lineage: Eukaryota; Fungi; Basidiomycota; Agaricomycetes; Boletales; Boletaceae. The record is from RNAcentral.